Long non-coding RNA from Rhincodon typus (whale shark), 1658 nucleotides. RefSeq lists it as uncharacterized. Lineage: Eukaryota; Metazoa; Chordata; Chondrichthyes; Orectolobiformes; Rhincodontidae. The record is from RefSeq and is a predicted model, not a curated record. The transcript has 3 exons.
CCUGCUGGCGCCACCGAAAAAUCCCGCCUCCUACCUCACCGAUCAUUGGCCAGAGGUCGAGCAGCAUUGCGGUUUCGAUUGGCGUUUCUGUGCGUCCAUCAGGGCGGGAAGGCGUUGGAAGAUUGGUUGGUUCUGGCAGUUGGUUGGGUCUCGUGCGGGCCUUUAAAACCCAAGGGGAAGUUUGUUCCUGUCGGAGUAGACUCUCUGUUCCAGUUGGAUCAGCUAAUAAGAUGCUGCCAGACCUGUUGAACUUUUCCAACAACUUCUCUUUUUGUUCCCAAUUUACAGCAUCCACUUUUUUUUUGGGUUUUCCCCUCGCAGUCUGGACUUGUCUAUAAUGACUAACCACUUUUGCGCUAUGCCAGGAUAAUCCUUCAGAACUCGGCUCCUUCGAGGAACGAGUUGGAGAGAUCGAUGAACAGUUAAAGAAAUGCAAAUUUUCAACAUAUAAAAGAUACCAUGCUGCAAGGGCUAUUUUUCUUCGAGUUUAAUUCCACGGGGAAUUUUUAAAACACAGAACACCUCCCAAAGCAUUUCGGUAAAUGCUAGCGCACCUGACUUUUGCAAAUCUUGCCUCGUACUUUCAUUCUGUUAACAAAAUAACUUUGUGCGCUUGACAAAUUAGAGAAAUAAAAUUGCAAUUGUUGGGGCUUGACUGUAAGAGAUGGUGCAAAACCAGUUUCAGCUGAGCAUAUGUGUAAGAGUAUGCAACAUUUUAAUCUUGGCCCUUAUCUGUGGGAAGGAGGCUGAGCUAGUUGUGACCUUUUCUACAGAAAGAAAGCAACGUGGGCAUGUUGUAGUGUAGCAGAGUAUCUGCAUUUGAGACUUUGAUCUGUAGUUCGUAAGGGGCAGCUUGAGCUAGCCCUGUGUAGGUUUAAAAGCUUUCUCUGACUUUGACACAAUAACCUCAGAGACGCUAUUCAAAGCAGCACAUGACCUCCUGUAAGUGAGGUGGAGUUAGACAAUAAAGCAACUGCCACAAUGCAGGAAGUGAGUACAAUUAUACAUUUCCCAACAAUAACACACAGCUUUUGUUUAAAGCUGUCUGGACUUCAGGGCCCUUUUUUUAAUCAAAUCUCCCCUGCCUCUUUCCCGCCCUUCUCUGCCGCCAGCAUAACUACUGAACCAUUUUUUGCAUAGCUGUACAUACACGUGUGCAUACAAUUCACUUCAUUGGGUAUAAAAGAUUUUUUUUACUUAAUUUGGAAUAAAUAAACCUCCCUUGUUUUGAUAUCAUUCACAAAUGAUCAAACCACUUCAUGUCUGGAUUUUUACUCUGCUUCUCUCCUUCUCUCCUUCCAGAUAAAUAAACUUUACCUCUUCACUACUGAUUCCUGGCUCCUGACUAGGAUUCAAUGUGUCCUUUAGUAUAACUAUAAAAUUACCAUUUUGUUAUUUCUGAGCCUCUUGGAUCAGAAUUGUUACAUUAUUGGAUCUGACUGUUAUGAUUGCAUUGAAUGUAUAGGGGCGCAAUGAUGCAAAUGUUCUGCCAUCUUGAAAGUUGCUGUGUGUCAUUCUUUUUGAAAAUAACUCAGCCAAUGGUUAUGUCCUAUUAAAUAAAUCAAGUCAUUCUUCAUGUAAAGCACGGCUUUAAAACAAAAAACUCACGUCUCUGAUUGCGUUGAGGGCAGUUGAAACUUCAGAAGGCCCAGGACAGG